RNAcentral lists this ribosomal RNA (440 nucleotides) under uncultured bacterium. RNAcentral's name for it is "partial 16S ribosomal RNA". It matches the Rfam family "Bacterial small subunit ribosomal RNA", at positions 338 to 795 of the family's 1533-position model. The record is from RNAcentral.
CCUACGGGUGGCAGCAGUGGGGAAUAUUGCACAAUGGGGGAAACCAUGAUGCAGCGACGCAGCGUGAGUGAAGAAGACAUAAGUUAGGUAAAGCUAUAUCAGCAGGGAAGAAAAUGACGGUACCUGAGUAAGAAGCCGCGGAUAACUAGGGUCCAGCAGCCGCGGUAAUACGUAGUGGGCAAGCGUGAGCCGGAUUUACUGGGCGUAAAGGGAGUGUAGACGGUGCGCCAAGUCUGGAGGCAAAUGCCGCAGCUUAACGGCGGAACUGCUUUGGAAACUGGCGAACGAGAGUGCGGGAGGGGUAAGCGGAAUUCCUAGUGUAGCGGUGAAAUGCGUAGAUAUUAGGAGGAACACCGGUCGCGAAGGCGGCUUACUGGACCGUAACUGACGUUGAUGCUCGAAAGCGUGGGGAGCAAACAGGAUUAGAUACCCCAGUAGUC